Molecule: RNA transcript, 3467 nt
Organism: Homo sapiens (human)
Lineage: Eukaryota; Metazoa; Chordata; Mammalia; Primates; Hominidae
Gene: ZNF880
Gene name: zinc finger protein 880
Exons: 3
Source: RefSeq, marked validated
CAAAAAACAAACAAAAACCAUUAAAAGUCAAGUUACAAAAGAAAAGAGUAAUAAUAAAUAUCUCUAUAUUUGAUUAUUUACUGACCUUUAAUGGUGAACUUUCUAUUUUCAUUGAGGUUAAAGAUACUAUUUAGAGACCUUUUAUUUUAUAUUGAAGGAGUCCCUUUAGCAUUUCUUGUUGGGUAAGUCUAGAAUACUAAUGCACUCCCUCAGCUCUUCAUUUUCUAAGAACAUCUAAAUUUCUUAUUUUUGCAGGUGAAUGUUACUAAAUAUAGUAUUCUUGGUUGAUAUUUUUGCUUUUUUUAAAAAAGUAUUUUCAACAUUUCCUCUCACUGCCUUCUAGCCUGCAAAGUUUCUGUUGAAAAAUACACAUAAUCUUAUACAGUUUCCCUUUAUGUGACAAGUCUUUUUUGUUGCUGCUAUCAAGACUGUUUCUUUGUCUUUGACUUUUGAUAAUUUCUGUAUAGUAUGUCUCUGAAUGUCCUUGGGUUCGUUUUAGUUAGCAUUUUAGUUUAGUUAGUUGACCAAGCUUCUUGAAUUUGUAUAUUUAUUUCUUUCCUUAGAUUGGGGAUGUUUGAACAUUAUUUCUACAAUGGUGAUUUCGAAUCUUCUGUCUUCCUGUGAAUCUCCAAUAGUUUGUAUAUUGUUCCACCUGAUAGUAUCUCAAAAAUGUACUAGGGUUGGUUUUCUUCAUCAUUUUUUCUUUUUGCUCUUUGGAGCUGAUUCUUUUGAAUAACAUAUCUUUCAAUUUGCUCAUUGUUUUCUGUUCCUUUUGCAGUCUGCUGUUGAAUCCCUUAGUGAAAUAUUACUUCAGUUAUCAUAUUUAAGCUCCAGAAUUUCUGUUCUUUUGGUUUUAGUAGUUUCUCCUGUGAUUGGUAUUCUUUUUCUUUUCAUGUAAUGUUUGCCUGAUUUUAUUUAGUUAUCUGUCUCUGUUAUCUUUUUUAGCUCAUUAAGCAUCUUAAGGCAGUUGCUUUAAAUACCUGUCAAGUAAUUCAGAGGGCUGCCUAUUUUUAGGCUUGUUUUGUGGAGAUUGAUUGAUUGAUCAUAAUUUUAGCCAUAUUUCCCUGUCCUUUUGUAGGCCUCGUAAUUUUUGGUUUAGGUUUGGUAAAGCAACCACUUCUCCCAGUUAUUUUGUGUAAGCGUUGUGCAGGAUACCUUUACUAAUUAGCCUGCUAUAAAGGGUAUAGGAACAGCCACUCCUUUUCUGGGGAUGUGUUUUUUUCCUGGCGUGUGGAAGUACUAUUACUAAUGACUAUACAGCUGCUCUAAAAGUUCUGAUUUUCCUUAAGAGGCUCAUCCCUGCUUUUUCUCAAAAGCUUUCAAUUUCUGUUGUAUUUUUCUGCUCAUAAUCUCUCUCAAACUCACCCAUAAUCCACCUGACUCCUGCAGGUUCCCCACUGCUCCAGUGCAUCCUUCCGUCCCUUUUGUUUUCUGCACUGCCAGCAUGAUACACACAGUAUGCUGAUAUUCCUUCCCAUGUCUGAGUCAGAGAGCAGCUCUAAAUUGGGAAGCAAUGCCGGAAACAAGUCUCUUAAAAAUCAACUUGGAUUAACCUUUCAGUUACAUCUGAGUGAACUGCAGCUAUUUCAAGCUGAAAGGAAUAUUUCUGGAUGUAAACAUGUCGAAAAACCUAUCAACAAUUCCUUAGUUUCACCACUUCAAAAAAUUUAUUCUAGUGUCAAAUCCCACAUUUUAAAUAAAUACAGAAAUGAUUUUGAUGAUUCUCCAUUUCUCCCACAAGAACAAAAAGCACAAAUAAGGGAAAAACCGUGUGAAUGUAAUGAGCAUGGCAAAGCCUUUAGAGUGUCUUCAAGACUUGCUAACAAUCAAGUAAUCCACACUGCAGAUAACCCUUACAAAUGUAAUGAAUGUGACAAGGUCUUCAGUAACAGUUCAAACCUUGUACAACAUCAAAGAAUUCAUACUGGAGAGAAGCCUUACAAGUGUCAUGAAUGUGGCAAGCUCUUCAAUCGAAUUUCACUCCUUGCACGACAUCAGAGAAUACAUACUGGAGAGAAACCUUACAAAUGUCAUGAGUGUGGCAAAGUCUUCACUCAAAAUUCUCACCUUGCAAAUCAUCACAGAAUCCACACUGGAGAGAAACCUUACAAAUGUAAUGAGUGUGGCAAGGUCUUCAACAGAAAUGCACACCUUGCACGACAUCAGAAAAUUCAUAGUGGAGAGAAACCUUACAAAUGUAAGGAAUGUGGCAAAGCAUUUUCAGGGGGUUCAGGCCUUACUGCUCAUCUUGUAAUUCACACUGGAGAGAAACUUUACAAAUGUAAUAAAUGUGGCAAGGUCUUCAAUCGAAAUGCACACCUUACCAGACAUCAAAGAAUCCAUACUGGAGAGAAACCUUAUGAAUGUAAAGAAUGUGGCAAGGUCUUCAGGCACAAGUUUUGUCUAACCAAUCAUCAUAGAAUGCACACGGGAGAGCAACCUUACAAAUGUAAUGAAUGUGGCAAAGCAUUUAGAGACUGUUCAGGCCUUACUGCCCAUCUACUAAUUCACACUGGAGAGAAACCUUACAAAUGUAAAGAAUGUGCCAAGGUCUUCAGGCAUAGAUUAUCCCUAAGCAAUCAUCAGAGAUUUCAUACUGGAGAGAAACCUUACAGAUGUGAUGAAUGUGGCAAGGACUUCACUCGAAAUUCAAACCUUGCAAAUCAUCACAGAAUCCAUACUGGAGAGAAACCUUACAAAUGCAGUGAAUGUCACAAAGUCUUUAGUCACAAUUCACACCUUGCACGACAUAGGCAAAUUCAUACUGGAGAGAAGUCUUACAAAUGCAAUGAAUGUGGCAAGGUCUUCAGCCACAAGUUAUACCUAAAAAAACAUGAGAGAAUUCAUACUGGGGAGAAACCGUACAGAUGUCAUGAAUGUGGUAAGGACUUCACUCGAAAUUCAAACCUGGCAAAUCAUCACAGAAUCCAUACUGGAGAGAAACCGUACAGAUGAAAUGUGUGUGGUAAGAUCUUUAGUAAUAAUUCACACCUUGCACAGCAUGAGAUAAUUCAUUCAUGAGAGAGUUCUUACAAACUGAGUAUGGCAAACUCUUCAUGCUAAGUUCUAGCAUUAAUCAACAUCAGAGAUUCCAUACUAAAGAGAAAUCAUAGCAAUGUAUGUGAAUCAGGUCUCUUGAGGCCUGCCAAAUGACUAGAUAUCAAAACAUACAUCUUGGAUGAAACCAUACAGAUGGAUUAUGUAUGCUGAGGCUAUUAUUCAAGGACCAUUACUAUGGAACAUGAUAAGAUUUACACAAGCGAUAAUUCAGUCUCUAGUUCUCCAAUAUUUAUGAUACUGCAUGCUGCAGAAAAGUCACAGCUCCAAAUACGUUGAAUCUCAUGACGCGAUGCAUGUCGAAGGUCCAAGGGCAUGUGGAAAUGGAAUCUGUCUUCCUGACCUGAGUAUUAUCUCUAUGUGGGAGCAAAGGAGAGAGCCCUGGACUCUGGAGAGUGAAGGGAAAAUAG